Non-coding RNA from Corvus hawaiiensis (hawaiian crow), 1717 nucleotides. Lineage: Eukaryota; Metazoa; Chordata; Aves; Passeriformes; Corvidae. The record is from the annotation of a RefSeq genome assembly.
CUCCUCUGCCGCGCAUCCGGCUUUGACUUCAGCCAAUUCGGGAUGGGCUGGUACCGCCAGAAACCCGGGCAGGCGCUGGAAUACAUCGCAGCUAUCAACAGCGAUGGCAGCAGCACCUACUACGCGUCGUCGGUCAAGGGCCGGUUCACGAUCUCCAGGGACAACGGGCAGAGCUCGCUGACGCUGACCAUGAACAGCCUCAGGGACGAGGAUUCCGCCACCUAUUUCUGUGCCAAGUCUCCUAAUACUGGUACUGCUGCUGGUGCUGGUUAUAUUGACGCGUGGGGCAGCGGCACGAUCGUCACGGUCUCGAGCGCGGCCGCCCAGCGCGCCCCCGACCUGUUCCCGCUGUCGCCCUGCGGCUCGGCCCCCGGCGCCUCCCUGUUCUCCGUCGGCUGCGUCGCCGUCGGCUUCACGCCCGCCCAGCUCGCCUUCUCCUGGAUGGACCGCGACAACCGCAGCGUGGCCAGCGCCGCCGAAUUCCGGCCCAUCCCCAGCUCCGGAACCUUCGUGGCCGCCUCGCGCCUCGGGAUGGCCCUGGAGGAGGGCAAAUCCCGGCAGCCCUUCCUGUGCCGCGCCACCCACCCCAAGGGCAUCCGCAGCGUCCUCGUCUCCAACCCAGGCUCCGGCUCCGGCGCCCUGAUCCAGGCGGUGCCCGUGGUCACCCUGCACCCGCCGUCCCGCGAGGACUUCCAGGGGCCCUACCGCAACUCCACCCUCCUGUGCCAGAUCCGGGGGCCCCGGCGCCUGCCUGGCGCCGGCCCCAUCCGCUGGCUGAAGAACGGGAGCCCCCUGAAGGAAGGGGUGACCCCGGAAGGGCCGGUCCAGGAAGGUUCCGGGCUCUACGUCACCGGCAGCCGCGUGGUGGUCACCGAGACCGAGUGGGACCGCGGCGAUGUCUUCACGUGCCAGGCGGACAAGGAGAUGAGGAACACCAGCAAGGCCAUGGAGUGCGGAUAUGACCAACCCCUGGCCACCGGCGACAUCCGCGUGGAGCCGGUGGCGCCGCUCUUCGCCGACAUCUUCCGGGAGCAGGCGGCCCGGCUGACGUGCCGCGUGUCCAACCUGGCCACGGCCGGCGAGGGCCUGGAGGUCACCUGGAUCAAGGAGGACGGCGAGGCCUUGGCCACCAAGACGUCAUUGCCGGUGCUGCAGCCCAACGGCCUCUUCGGCGCCGAGGGCGUGGCCACGGUGGGCACCGAGGUCUGGGAGUCCGGCCAGGUCUUCACGUGCCGCGUGUCCCACCCGGACCUGCUCUUCCCCAGGGAGGUCACCAUGAAGAAGACGACGGCCCCGGACGCGGCGCCGCCGUCGCUCUACGUCCUCCCGCCGCCGGCCGAGCAGCUGCGCCAGCGCGGUUGGGCCACGCUCACCUGCCUGGUGCGCGACUUCAACCCUGCGGACCUGCUGCUGCAGUGGCUGCGCGACGGCGAGCCGCUCCCGGCCGCGCGUGCCGUCACCUUCCGGCCGCGCCCCGACACCGGCCACGCCCCGGCCGGCCACACCUUCGUGGCCGUCAGCGCCCUGACCGUGCCGGCGCGCGACUGGGACGCCGGCCACGUCUACACGUGCCUGGUGGGCCACGAGCGGCUCCCGCUGCGCCUGGCCCAGAAAUCCCUGGACAAGGCCUCCGGUAAACCCGCCAACGUCAACGUCUCCCUCGUGCUCGCCGACGCCUCCAGCGCCUGUUACUGAACCCGGGGGGUGUUUUCCCGCC